This 253-nucleotide ribosomal RNA is filed under the name uncultured bacterium. RNAcentral describes it as "partial 16S ribosomal RNA". It matches the Rfam family "Bacterial small subunit ribosomal RNA", at positions 524 to 776 of the family's 1533-position model. The record is from RNAcentral. RNAcentral also lists the same sequence under 1 other name.
UACAGAGGGUGCAAGCGUUGCUCGGAAUUAUUGGGCGUAAAGGGUAGGUAGGUGGUCUCAUUUGUCAGGGGUGAAAGCCUUGGGCUUAACCCAAGAAGUGCCUUUGAAACGGUGAGACUGGAGUCCUGGAGAGGGUCGUGGAAUUCCCGGUGUAGCGGUGAAAUGCGUAGAGAUCGGGAGGAACACCAGCGGCGAAGGCGGCGACCUGGACAGGUACUGACACUCAACUACGAAAGCGUGGGGAGCAAACAGG